Long non-coding RNA from Scatophagus argus, 231 nucleotides. RefSeq lists it as uncharacterized. NCBI's taxonomy places the organism in Eukaryota, Metazoa, Chordata, Actinopteri, Scatophagidae. The record is from RefSeq and is a predicted model, not a curated record. The transcript has 3 exons.
CUCUCUCUCUCUCUCUCCUCCUCCUUCUGCAGCACAACAACAAACACGGUGUAGUAAAGGCAGGCUCCCAGGGCAACAGGAAGUCCCCCUCUAAGGGUCUCACCCAGAAACAACCGGCCAAGAGUAAAGAGGAGUACAGUAAUGUGUGGCAGUCUCUGCAGAGCUGUGGCCCUCCACACAAACCUCCUGCUCACUGGCACAAUAAUGAUAAACAGGGUGGGAACCAGCGCC